UAAAAAAAAUUUUUAACUCAUUUGAAGAAGGAGGAAGUAAAGGCACAGGAAGUCAGAUAGCUUGCUCUUGGUCCCAGCGAGGUAAAGCGGUCCGCGAGAGCCCAAGUCCUUCACCCCAAAGGUCCCCAGACGACAAGGGGACAGUGCAGACGACACAACCAAGAGUAAAACACCUGUGUAGACACAGAAGGAUUUAAGAACAGGGAGGUGUAAAGGAAGAGAAAGAAGUUCCAGAAGAUCUAAAUCAAAAGGCUGAGAAAAACAUGAAAUGUCUCUUCUCACCACGCAACAUGCCCUGCUCCUGGCUGAUGACAAUUAACGCUGA
Castor canadensis (American beaver) is the source of this 325-nucleotide non-coding RNA. Lineage: Eukaryota; Metazoa; Chordata; Mammalia; Rodentia; Castoridae. The record is from RefSeq and is a predicted model, not a curated record.